Molecule: long non-coding RNA, 710 nt
Organism: Rosa rugosa (rugosa rose)
Lineage: Eukaryota; Viridiplantae; Streptophyta; Magnoliopsida; Rosales; Rosaceae
Exons: 2
Source: RefSeq, a predicted model, not a curated record
GUAAAUUGGAGUGAGACCCUAAACCCCCAAAUUGGAAAAUUGGAAUAGAAAGCAAGCAAUGCAUCACCAAUUGGUCGUCGGUUGAAGCUGAGCACUGAGCAGAGAAGCUAUUCAAAUUCGAUAUCAGUUCCUGUUCACCCUUCUCAGAAAAGGAGUCCUAGUUCACUUGUCUCCUCCUCCAGCUUUUGCCAAGCUUAAGGUGGUUCUCGAUUUUGUUCACGGCACCUUACUGCAGGUGGAGUGGAGUUUGGGUUUAUGAAUUGUUAUUAGUGAAAUGUGAGGUUUACUCGAGAAUUGGUUGGGAGAACAGUUUUGAUAAUGUGCUAGUAGAAGUCGACUUAGACUUUAUGAUUACUCUUAUUACUGGUGAUCCCUUGUUUCCAUCUUUUGCGUGAACUUUUGUUGGAAUGUCAAAAUUGUUGCAUGUUUCAGAGGGAGUGCACUUAUGUGGCAGACGGUCUUGCCCGUGUUUGGCCAUGCUUUGCAACUGGGGUUCAUUGAUUUGCCGCACAUCCUGAUUGCAUCUUGCUGCGUCUUCAUGAUCAUAUUCUGUUCUUUCGUGACCUAAAUUAUUUUCUGUUUUAUUUUAUUUGGGCAAAAGACUGGCAGUUAACUAGAAGAAUAAGUGAGUUGUAAGUUGUUACAGUGUAUUUACUAAUGGCAAUUUCAUUGUACCUUAAGAUUUUAUAUCUAACAGUAGUUACCAUUCA